GACGAACGCUGGCGGCGUGCUUAACACAUGCAAGUCGAACGGAAAGGCCCUGCUUUUGUGGGGUGCUCGAGUGGCGAACGGGUGAGUAACACGUGAGUAACCUGCCCUUGACUUUGGGAUAACUUCAGGAAACUGGGGCUAAUACCGGAUAGGAGCUCCUGCUGCAUGGUGGGGGUUGGAAAGUUUCGGCGGGUGGGGAUGGACUCGCGGCUUAUCAGCUUGUUGGUGGGGUAGUGGCUUACCAAGGCUUUGACGGGUAGCCGGCCUGAGAGGGUGACCGGCCACAUUGGGCCUGAGCUACGGCCCAGACUCCUACGGGAGGCAGCAGUGGGGAAUAUUGCACCAUGGGCGGAAGCCUGAUGCAGCAACGCCGCGUGCGGGAUGACGGCCUUCGGGUUGUAAACCGCUUUCGCCUGUGACGAAGCGUGAGUGACGGUAAUGGGUAAAGAAGCACCGGCUAACUACGUG
This 468-nucleotide ribosomal RNA is filed under the name uncultured bacterium. Its description in RNAcentral is "partial 16S ribosomal RNA". It matches the Rfam family "Bacterial small subunit ribosomal RNA", at positions 28 to 507 of the family's 1533-position model. The record is from RNAcentral.